Long non-coding RNA from Poeciliopsis prolifica (blackstripe livebearer), 2548 nucleotides. RefSeq lists it as uncharacterized. NCBI's taxonomy places the organism in Eukaryota, Metazoa, Chordata, Actinopteri, Cyprinodontiformes, Poeciliidae. The transcript has 3 exons. The record is from RefSeq and is a predicted model, not a curated record.
GAUUUGGGUUAGUGAUAAGUCAGUCGCGAACGUUUCGGUUCUUAGAGCCGGUUCUUUGAAGAGAACGACUGGAGCCAGACAGGUGUUUUGUCAGGUCAGCGUACUUCUACCAUACGUUUUUUCUGAGUACGCAUGCGCAUUAGACAUGGACAACAGCUGUCAGUUUUGCUUACGCGACAAGAUACGACAGAAAACAGGUUAAUUGUUUUAAUGGCGACCUGGUCCUGGUUUCAACGCGGGUUCAACGCUGCAGCUGCUGUUACCUACAGAACUGGUUCCGAUUCGGAAAAUGGCUAAAGGGCGAUUCCACCUCAUUUUCACUACCUUCCAUCUUUAAUGGAUUCUAGUUUAAAAACUGCAACAACUGGACUCUUUAAACCUGGACUGGACUCUUUAAAACCUGGACUGGACUCUUUAAAACCUGGACUGGACUCUUUAAACCUGGACUGGACUCUUCAAACCUGGACUGGACUCUUCAAACCUGGACUGGACUCUUCUGCUCUAAUAACACAAUAUUUAGAUCCAUGUUUGGGAUUUAUGAAACUUCACUCAAGUUUAGAUUACUAUUCACACUUGUUCCAUGCACAAAUUCAAAACCACUUUAUUAAUCUCAAUGGGAAAUUAAAUGUUGGUAUAACUAAUUAAUUCUUCAGUUAUUGUAGAUGGUGAUGGCUGUGGAAGGAAAAACCUUCUGCAGUGGGCUGUGAAGUAAAGUUUCACAAAUCAGAAAAAAGUUUCACUGGUGAAUGUUAAACCAUGCAAUAUAUUUCUCAUAAUGUUUUAUUUCUAAGGUAGGCUCUGUGAUAAUCUAAGUCCAUAUUAAAAAUGUUCAAACUUUCCACUAAAUCUGGGUGAGCCUUCCUAGCAGGGCUGAACCCGCAUUUCACCAGUGGACAUAAACACAGUAUAGUAAUAUUCUGAUGAUAAAAUAUCAACAAUAUGAAGUUAAAUAAUAGUCCAUUGAUGUGAACAAAGUAUCCGCAGUGCUGAGGCUUCUGCUGCUUCGGCUUAGUCAAGAUGGCCGCCGUGUUUCCUGCAGCCAUGUUAGGGUGGGACUGGUGCAGAAUCAACAACCUGCUCCUAAACUCAACAAGACCAAAGACAUCACUGAGGAGGUCUGGACCCAACCACACUCCUCUCCUCAUCGGUGGAGAUCGUCAGCGAUCACAUCACAGACGGCCUCGCCUGGACAACUUGCAUCACUUCACUGGUGAAAAAGGCACAGCAGCGCCUGCACUUUCCGAAAUGAAUGAGAAAGACUUCCCUCCUCCUCCCAUCUUCUCCACCUUCUGCAGAGGGUAACUGAGAUCCUGCUGACCAGCAGCAUCUCCAUUUGGUCUGGGAACUGCAACUUGUCAGACUGGAAGUCUCUGCGGCGUGGUGAAGACAGCAGUCGGGAUCGUCAGGACCAGAGAUCACCAGAUCCUCUCUGACUCCACCCAUCCUCAUCCGGUUGGCGCCUGGGUGGAGGUUCUGUAGCAUCCGCUGCAGAACAGCCAGACUGGCCAUCAGAUUGCUCAUCAAUCCCGUCACUAAGACUGCUUGAAAAUACCAAGUUACAUAUUUAGCAAUACAUUAUUAUUUGUAUGUCAUGUAAUUAUUAGCACACUUGUGUUUUUGCAUUCUUGCUCCGGUGGCCAAGCCAUGACAUUUCAUUGCCAAUUUCACUUCUGUGAAAUAUGACAAUAAAACAAAUCUAAGUCACUGUGGGUCUACUCUUAUGUCUGUGAUGUUCAGGGUCCAGUUCCUGCAGCGGUUCUGCUGAACCUGUCCUGGUUCUGCAGAACUGAUGUGUGACGUGGAGCGCCGCCCACCUGGAAGUGAUGUAACAAAAGGCCGACUGAAGCUCCGCCCCCAGCAGUCUGUUCACAGAGGCGGGGCUGUGACAUAACCGGACCGAGGCGUGUUCUGAUCCGGGCUGGUCGGCGCUCCCCGAUUCCUCACCUGACCCACCUUUGUGAUGUGACUCUGUUGCACAGGAAGCAAAACUCGGCCUGAUUUACAUCUGGAGCUGCAGCGCCUCCUGCUGGCUGGAGGUCUCCUGGGAUACAAAGCAGCAGAUGGAGAACUAAUUGGAACAACACACUGAAGCAAACUGACUGCUGAUCGUGUCACCCUGGGAGCCAAUAGGAAGCCAGCUUUUAGGGCUCAGCUGAUGACUCUCCCCCUCAGGCUGGCUCCUCUUCUAGAAUAAGACCAAACCGGGUCAGCGGUUCUGUUCUACUCUGAUGGUUAUGGAGCUGCUGGCCGGAUCUCCUAAAACAUUUUAAUGAAACCCAAAAAGAUUUUCCUUCCACUAAUAAGAGUUGAAGCUUGGUUCUGUUAGAACCCUGGUCCUGGAAACGUGUUCUGAUUGGUUCUGUAACGUUACGUUCUCUGAAUAAACAUCCAUCCAUUUUCUCACCCCUGGUCCCAGUGGGUGCGGAGGAGCUGCUGCCUCUCCAGCAACGUUCCAGGCAAGAGGUGAGUCGCCUGGACGAGUCGCCUGGACGAGUCGCCUGGACGGGUCGCCAGUCUGUCACUGUGAAUAAACGUUUAUGAAAUAAUC